This 1081-nucleotide ribosomal RNA is filed under the name uncultured Rhizaria. RNAcentral describes it as "SSU rRNA". It matches the Rfam family "Eukaryotic small subunit ribosomal RNA", at positions 577 to 1674 of the family's 1831-position model. The record is from RNAcentral.
CGGUAAUUCCAGCUCCAAUAGCGUAUACUAAAGUUGUUGCAGUUAAAAAGCUCGUAGUUGGAUUUCUGCGGGGACGGAGCGGCCGGACGCAACUUGCGUCUCGAGCUAGCGCUUUCCCCGCAUCCUGCCGCGAACCGUGCUACCAUUAGCUUGGUGGCGCUGGGGAUCGGCUCGAUUACUUUGAGAAAAAUAGAGUGUUCAAAGCAGGCCACACGCCUUGAAUAAGUUAGCAUGGAAUAAUGACUAAGGACUUCGGUUCUAUUUUGUUGGUGUUCGGGACUGAAGUAAUGAUUGAUAGGGACAGUUGGGGCGGUCUGUAUUCCAAAGCGAGAGGUGAAAUUCUUAGACCUUCGGAAGACAAACAGCUGCGAAAGCGUUCCGCAAGGAUGUUCCCUUUGAUCAAGAACGAAAGUUGGGGGAUCGAAGACGAUCAGAUACCGUCGUAGUCUCAACUAUAAACUAUACCAGCUAGGGAUCGGUCAACGUUUAAUCAUUCGACUUGAUCGGCACCUUAUGAGAAAUCAAAGCAUCUGGGUUCCGGGGGGAGUAUGGUCGCAAGGCUGAAACUUAAAGGAAUUGACGGAAGGGCACCACCAGCCGCGGAGCCUGUGGCUUAAUUUGACUCAACACGGGAAAACUUACCAGGUCCAGACAUAGUAAGGAUUGACAGAUUGAUAGCUCUUUCUUGAUUCUGUGGGUGGUGGUGCAUGGCCGUUCUUAGUUGGUGGAGUGAUUUGUCUGGUUAAUUCCGUUAACGAACGAGACCCCAGCCUGCUAAAUAGCGCGGCUGAGCUUUGCUCGGUGCGAGCUUCUUAGAGGGACUAUGAUGCGCGAUAGCACAUGGAAGUUUGGGGCAAUAACAGGUCUGUGAUGCCCUUAGAUGUUCUGGGCCGCACACGGGCUACACUGGCGCCUGCAACGAGCAUAUCAGCUGGCCCGAGAGGGUCUUGGCUAAUCUUUUGAACCGGCGCCGUGCUUGGGAUUGACCAUUGCAAUUGUUGGUCAUGCAACGAGGAAUGCCUUGUAAACGCGAGUCAUCAGCUCGCAUUGAAUACGUCCCUGCCCCUUGUACACACCGCCC